UACGGAGGGAGCUAGCGUUGUUCGGAAUUACUGGGCGUAAAGCGCGCGUAGGCGGUUACUCAAGUCAGAGGUGAAAGCCCGGGGCUCGACCCCGGAACUGCCUUUGAAACUAGGUGACUAGAAUCUUGGAGAGGUCAGUGGAAUUCCGAGUGUAGAGGUGAAAUUCGUAGAUAUUCGGAAGAACACCAGUGGCGAAGGCGACUGACUGGACAAGUAUUGACGCUGAGGUGCGAAAGCGUGGGGAGCAAACAGG
RNAcentral lists this ribosomal RNA (253 nucleotides) under uncultured bacterium. RNAcentral describes it as "partial 16S ribosomal RNA". It matches the Rfam family "Bacterial small subunit ribosomal RNA", at positions 524 to 776 of the family's 1533-position model. The record is from RNAcentral.